Molecule: ribosomal RNA, 618 nt
Filed under: Cynoscion arenarius (sand weakfish)
Lineage: Eukaryota; Metazoa; Chordata; Actinopteri; Sciaenidae
Description: partial 16S ribosomal RNA
Rfam family: Bacterial large subunit ribosomal RNA
Source: RNAcentral
CGCCUGUUUAUCAAAAACAUCGCCUCUUGCAAAAUUAACGAAUAAGAGGUCCUGCCUGCCCUGUGACCAUGAGUUCAACGGCCGCGGUAUUUUGACCGUGCAAAGGUAGCGCAAUCACUUGUCUUUUAAAUGAAGACCCGUAUGAAUGGCAAGACGAGGGCUUAGCUGUCUCCUUUCUCAAGUCAAUGAAAUUGAUCUUCCCGUGCAGAAGCGGGAAUUAUAACAUAAGACGAGAAGACCCUAUGGAGCUUUAGACACCAAGACAGACCACGUCAAAGCCCCCUAACCAAGGAACUGAACUAAGUGACCCCUGUCCUAAUGUCUUUGGUUGGGGCGACCACGGGGAAACACAAAACCCCCGCGUGGAAUGGGAGCACUACACUCCUACAACCAAGAGCUUCCGCUCUAAUAAACAGAAUUUCUGACCAACAAGAUCCGGCAACGCCGAUCAACGAACCGAGUUACCCUAGGGAUAACAGCGCAAUCCUCUUUUAGAGCCCAUAUCGACAAGAGGGUUUACGACCUCGAUGUUGGAUCAGGACAUCCUAAUGGUGCAGCCGCUAUUAAGGGUUCGUUUGUUCAACGAUUAAAGUCCUACGUGAUCUGAGUUCAGACCGG